AUGAGGAGCCAAGUGGGCUGGCCCUGCCCGCAGCUGCUGCCUGUGCCAGAGGCUCCAACCAUGAUUCGAAUCGCAGCCUUGAAUGCCAGCUCCACCGUCGAAGAUGAUCAUGAAGGAAGCUUUAAAAGUCACAAGACCCAGACGAAGGAGGCACAGGAAGCAGAGGCUUUUGCCUUGUACCACAAGGCCCUGGACCUGCAGAAGCACGACCGAUUUGAGGAGUCCGCCAAGGCCUACCACGAGCUGCUGGAGGCACGCCUGCUGCGGGAGGCGGUCCCGUCUGGUGAUGAGAAGGAGGGGCUGAAGCACCCUGGGCUGAUGCUGAAGUACUCCACAUACAAGAACCUGGCGCAGCUGGCCGCCCAGCGGGAGGACCUGGAGACGGCCAUGGAGUUCUACCUGGAGGCGGUCAUGCUGGACUCCACGGACGUCAACCUCUGGUAUAAGAUCGGACACGUGGCCCUGAGGCUCAUCCGGGUGCCCCUGGCUCGCCACGCGUUUGAGGAAGGGCUGCGGUGCAACCCUGACCACUGGCCCUGCCUGGACAACCUCAUCACUGUCCUGUACACCCUCAGCGACUACACCACAUGCCUGUACUUCAUCUGCAAGGCCUUGGAAAAGGACUGCCGCUACAGCAAGGGGCUGGUGCUCAAGGAGCAGAUCUUCCAGGAGCAGCCGCGCCUGCGCCAGGACUCCCUCCGCAUGUUCCUCCAGUGUGACAUGUCCAUCCACGAGGUGUCAGUGAGCGCAGCCGAGUCGCAGGCCAUCGUGGAUGAGGCCCUGGGGCUGCGCAGGAGGCGGCAGGCGCUGACGGUGCGUGAGAAGGAGCCGGACCUAAAGCUGGUGCAGCCCAUCCCCGUCCUCACCUGGAAGUGCCUCGGUGAGAGCCUGCUGGCCACAUACCACCACCUCACCACGUGCGAGCCCCCGCGGCCCAGUCUGGGCAAGAGGAUCGACCUGUCUGACUAUCAGGACCCCAGACAGCGUCCCGCGUCCCCCGAGGAGGCAGUGCCUGUCAGUGUGCUCCAGCCAAGCCCUGCCAGCGCCAGCCCUGCAGCCUCCGUGCCAGAGCCCGUGCUGGCAUUCACCCCCGUGGCCACGGCCAGCUUCCCGCUGCACAGCCCCAGCCUGCUGGAGACGGGCGUCCCCACCGGUGAUGUCUCCGGGGGAGAUAAAUCCAAGAAAGGGGUCAAACGGAAGAAGAUUUCCGAGGAGAGCGGGGAGACGGCCAAGCGGCGGUCUGCCCGCGUCCGAAACACCAAGUGCAAGAAGGAAGAGAAGGUGGACUUCCAGGAGCUGCUGCUGAAAUUCCUGCCGUCCAGGUUGAGAAAGCUGGACCCUGAGGAGGAAGACGACCCCUUUAACAGCUAUGAAGUCCCGCCAGAGGCCAAGCCGGAGAGCUUCCCCAGCGCGGGGGCCCACAGGCUGUCCUCCGACUCGGCCACGUUCAUGGAGUCUGAGAAGCAGGACGUGCACGCCUUUCUGCUGGGGAACCUGAGCAACGGGGGGCGUCCUGGAGCUGAUGGUGUGCUUCCUGAAGAGCAUGGGCCUCAGGUUCCUGCUGCGCUGGCCGCCGGGCCUGGCGGAGGUCGUGCUCAGCACCUACCACAGCUGGCGGAGGCACAGCGCCAGCCUGCCCAACCCGCUGCUCAGGGACUGCAGCAACCGGCACAUCCAGGAGAUGAUGCUGAUGUCUCUUUCCUGCAUGGAGCUGCAGCUGGACCAGUGGCUGCUGACCAAGGGCCGGAGCUCUGCAGUGUCUCCUCGGAACUGCCCCGCAGGCGUGCUGAAUGGCAGGUUCGGCCCCGACUUCCCAGGGGCCCACUUCCUGGGGGACCUCCUGCAACUGUCGUUUGCCUCAUCCCAGCGGGACCUGUUUGAGGAUGGCUGGUUGGAGUUUGUGGUCCGCGUGUACUGGUUGAAGGCUCGAUUCCUGGCGCUGCAGGUUGGUCUGGGGGCAGCUGCUUUGGGGAGGGAAACCUGGGGCACCCGCUCGGUACGGGGGAGGGGCUAGGUCACAUCGAUGGAGCGUG
This is a long non-coding RNA of Capra hircus (goat), 2033 nucleotides long. The record is from Ensembl. Lineage: Eukaryota; Metazoa; Chordata; Mammalia; Artiodactyla; Bovidae.